GACGAACGCUGGCGGCGUGCUUAACACAUGCAAGUCGAACGGAAAGGCCCUGCUUUUGUGGCGUGCUCGAGUGGCGAACGGGUGAGUAACACGUGAGUAACCUGCCCUUGACUUUGGGAUAACUUCAGGAAACUGGGGCUAAUACCGGAUAGGAGCUCCUGCUGCAUGGUGGGGGUUGGAAAGUUUCGGCGGUUGGGGAUGGACUCGCGGCUUAUCAGCUUGUUGGUGGGGUAGUGGCUUACCCAGGCUUUGACGGGUAGCCGGCCUGAGAGGGUGACCGGCCACAGUGGGACUGAGAUACGGCCCAGACUCCUACGGGAGGCAGCAGUGGGGAAUAUUGCACAAUGGGCGGAAGCCUGAUGCAGCAACGCCGCGUGCGGGAUGACGGCUUUCGGGUUGUAAACCGCUUUCGCCUGUGACGAAGCGUGAGUGACGGUAAUGGGUAAAGAAGCACCGGCUAACUACGUG
This 468-nucleotide ribosomal RNA is filed under the name uncultured bacterium. RNAcentral describes it as "partial 16S ribosomal RNA". It matches the Rfam family "Bacterial small subunit ribosomal RNA", at positions 28 to 507 of the family's 1533-position model. The record is from RNAcentral.